UCGUAAAUCGGCACAAAUCGUCU
RNAcentral lists this microRNA (23 nucleotides) under Caenorhabditis elegans. Lineage: Eukaryota; Metazoa; Nematoda; Chromadorea; Rhabditida; Rhabditidae. The record is from RNAcentral.